CUCCUCUGUUCUGCCCUACAAUGACCUGGGAUUUCUAGGAGCAAGAACAUGGAAGGAGAGUAAAUGAAGCUUUCUGGAUGGUCUGUCUGCUACAGUAACAUGGACUAUCACCCCAUCUUGCACUGCUAUAAUUGUCUAUGCUUCCUUUAAUAAACACCCGGAUGGAAAUAAAACGUACAAAAGGCAGUUAGUCUAGACUCUGGAGUACCAUGUAAAUUAACCAACACUGAUCAUUCCUACAGUGACAAGGCAAUAGAGAGAAACAAAGGUGUAAAUGAUGUUUGUGCCCAUCUAACAGUCAACAGUGAAAGUCAAAGUGAGAUUACUAUAAAGCAG
RNAcentral lists this long non-coding RNA (336 nucleotides) under Pelobates cultripes (western spadefoot toad). Lineage: Eukaryota; Metazoa; Chordata; Amphibia; Anura; Pelobatidae. The record is from RNAcentral.